This 547-nucleotide ribosomal RNA is filed under the name uncultured bacterium. RNAcentral's name for it is "partial 16S ribosomal RNA". The record is from RNAcentral.
CGGCUACCUUGUUACGACUUAGCCCCAGUCACCGGUUUUACCUUAGGCAGCUCUCUCCUUGCGGUUGAGACACUGACUUCGGGUACCCCCGGCUUCCAUGGCUUGACGGGCGGUGUGUACAAGGCCCGGGAACGUAUUCACCGCGGCGUGCUGAUCCGCGAUUACUAGCAAUUCCAGCUUCAUGCAGUCGGGUUUCAGACUGCAAUCCGAACUGAGGUCAUUUUUCAGGGAUUGGCUCCACCUCGCGGUUUUGCAACCCGUUGUAAUGACCAUUGUAGCACGUGUGUAGCCCUGGACGUAAGGGCCAUGAGGACUUGACGUCAUCCCCACCUUCCUCACCGCUUGCGCGGGCAGUCCCACUAGAGUGCCCAGCAUUACCUGAUGGCAACUAAUGGCAGGGGUUGCGCUCGUUGCAGGACUUAACCUAACACCUCACGGCACGAGCUGACGACAGCCAUGCAGCUCCUGUACCAGCUCUCGGCUUUACGAGUCGUUUCCCUUUCAGGAUUCUACUACUGGCCUUUCAAGCCUUGGUAAGGUUCUUCGC